RNAcentral lists this ribosomal RNA (2499 nucleotides) under Candidatus Levybacteria bacterium RIFCSPLOWO2_01_FULL_38_23. Its description in RNAcentral is "bacterial LSU rRNA". It matches the Rfam family "Bacterial large subunit ribosomal RNA", at positions 1 to 2507 of the family's 2925-position model. The record is from RNAcentral. Lineage: Bacteria; Candidatus Levyibacteriota.
AUAAUAAUGCCAAUAAUGGAUGCCUAGGAGGCUUUGACCGAGGAAGGACGCAGACGGCGGCGAUACUCGUUGGGGAGGUGCCAUCAACCUUUGAUCCAGCGGUUUCCGAAUGGGGCAACCCGUCCGAUUUAUCGGACAACCAAGGAUGAACAAAUUUCCGCAAGGAAGUUAAUAACCCUUGGCUGGGAACGGCGUGAACUGAAACAUCUUAGUAACGCUAGGAAAAUAAAUCAUUAGAGAUUCCGUCAGUAGCGGCGAGCGAAAGCGGAACAGCCUAAACCACUAGUAAUAGUGGUGUUGCAGGGCAGACGAUAUUCGAUGAAAGUUAGAUAGCAGAAGAGUCCGGAAUGGCUCACCACAGAACGUGAUAGUCGUGUAAGCGAAAUUUAACUUUCCGAUAGUUUGUUCCUAAGUACCAUGGGGUACGAUGAAACCCUGUGGGAAUCUGGGGCGGCCACGCUCCAAGGCUAAAUAUCAAAGUCUACCGAUAGUGAACUAGUACCGUAAGGGAAAGGUGAAAAGCACCCCGGGAGGGGAAUGAAAUAGAUCUGAAAUUAUUGGCUAACAAGCAGACAAAGUGCAAUUUAUUGUAUGAUGUCGUGCCUAUUGAAGAAUGAACCGGUGAGUUAUUGAUUGCAGCAAGCCUAAGUAAGGCAACUUACGGAGGCGAAGUGAAAGCGUGCCCUAACCGGGCGAUUAGUUGCAGUCAUUAGACCCGAAACUAGAUGAGCUAACCUUGGGCAGGGUGAAUGUAAGCGAAAGCUUACAAGAGGCCCGAACCCGUAUCAGUAGCAAUUGGUUGGGAUGACCUGAGGUUAGGGGCAAUAUGCCAAACGAAUCUAGAGAUAGCUGGUUCUCCCCGAAAUAUAUUUAGGUAUAGCGGUUUGUGUACGUUUUAGAGGUAGAGCACUGAAUGAAAUCUAGUAGGGAAACCUAUUAGUUUCAAUCAAACUCCGAAUGCUAGAACUUUUGCAAACUAGUCAGACGCGUCGGGCUAAGCUGAUGUGUCGAAAGGGAAACAGCCCAGACUCCCAUCUAAGGUCUCUAAAUAAAAGCUAAGUUUUGAACGAAGUCAGAUUUCACAGACAACCAGGAGGUUGGCUUAGAAGCAGCCACCCUUUAAAGAAAGCGUAACAGCUCACUGGAGGAUGAUAUUUGGCGCGGAAAAUUUAACGAGGAUUAAGCUUUUUACCGAAGUUGGAGAAUUUUUAUAAAUUGGUAGGGGAGCGUUCUAUUUGCCUUGAAGCGGAACCGUAAGGUUUGGUGGAGCGGAUAGAAGUGAGAAUGCCGGUAUGAGUAGCGAAAGCAAGGUUAGAAUCCUUGCCGCCGAAUACCCAAGGUUUCCUCCGCAAUGUAAGUCAGCGGAGGGUUAGUCGGUCCUAAGGGUGUGCCUUGUUAAAGAGGUCUAACCCAAUGGAUAAGUCGUUGAAAUUCGACUACAGAAUAUGAAUAGUCUAAGGGAUUAACGAAAGUGGAAGAGUCAAGCCGCGUACGCGCGGUCUAAGCAGUAAGAUAGUGGUAAUUGGUAAAACCGUUACUGUGUUUAAUUAAGCUGCAAAUGAGUAUGACUUCGCAAGAAGUUAAAUUUGAUAGCUUUCAGUUUCCGAGAAAAUUUUCAUUGGGGCUAGUAAUAGUCAAAAUUCAUAUUUUACCGUACCGCAAACCGACACAGGUGGGUUGGUCGAGAAGACUAAGGCGAUCGGGAGAAAGAUGUUCAAGGAACUCGGCAAAAAAUCUAGGCGUAACCUUUGGGAGAUGCCUUGCCUACAUUAGUUUGUAGGUUGCAACAAAAGUUUAUUUACCGACUGUUUAUCUAAAACACAGGCCUCUGCAAAGCUGAAAAGCAAAGUAUAGGGGCUGACGCCUGCCCAGUGCUGGUAAGUCAAAAGUAGAGAGUGAAGUCUCGCAAGAGAUCAGCUUUUUACUUAAGCUCCAGUAAACGGCAGCAGUAACUAUAACUGUUCUAUGGUAGCGAAGUUCCUUGUCGGGCGAGUUCCGACCCGCACGAAAGGCAGAACGAGUAAAUAACUGUCUUGAACAUUUACCCGGCGAAAUUGAGAUGGCUGUGAAGACGCGGCCUAAUUGUACAUGGACAAAAAGACCCCGGGAGCUUUACUGUAGCUUGGCAUUUGAAAGUAUAUUUCAACUGUUUAGAAUAGGAGGGAGAUUCGUCGAAAUAUGAAAUACCUCUCUUUGAACUAUGCAAUCAUUACCCCUAGCCGCAUAAAAAUUCGGCAGAGGGACAGUGUCUGGCGGGCAGUUUAACUGGGGAGGUUGACUCCUACAAUGCAACGGAGUCGUAUAAAGGUACUCUAACUUUGGAUGGAAAUCAAAGUGAUAGCGCAAACGCACAAGAGUGCUUGACUGCGAGACCUACAAGUCGAGCAGGGACGAAAGUCGAUGUUAGUGAUCCUGUAUUGCCUAGUGGUAGGCAUACAGCUUAACGGAUAAAAGCUACCCCGGGGAUAACAGGCUGAUCGCAUCCAAGCGUCCACAGCG